Molecule: ribosomal RNA, 254 nt
Filed under: uncultured prokaryote
Description: partial 16S ribosomal RNA
Rfam family: Bacterial small subunit ribosomal RNA
Source: RNAcentral
CCUCAUGGUGCAAGCGUUACUCGGAAUUACUGGGCGUAAAGCGUGCGUAGGUGGUUCGUUAAGUCUGCCGUGAAAGCCCCGGGCUCAACCUGGGAAUGGCGGUGGAUACUGGCGGACUAGAGUGCGGUAGAGGGUGGUGGAAUCCCCGGUGUAGCAGUGAAAUGCGUAGAGAUCGGGAGGAAGGCCGGUGGCGAAGGCGGCGCUCUGGAACGUUUCUGACGCUGAGGCUCGAAAGCGUGGGGAGCAAACAGGAU